This 253-nucleotide ribosomal RNA is filed under the name uncultured bacterium. RNAcentral describes it as "partial 16S ribosomal RNA". It matches the Rfam family "Bacterial small subunit ribosomal RNA", at positions 524 to 776 of the family's 1533-position model. The record is from RNAcentral.
CACGUAGGGCGCAAGCGUUGUCCGGAAUUAUUGGGCGUAAAGAGCUCGUAGGCGGUCUGUUGCGUCCGCUGUGAAAACUCGGGGCUUAACCCCGAGCCUGCAGUGGAUACGGGCAGACUAGAGGCAGGUAGGGGAGAAUGGAAUUCCCAGUGUAGCGGUGAAAUGCGUAGAUAUUGGGAGGAACACCAGUGGCGAAGGCGGCUCACUGGACCGGAACUGACGCUGAGGCGCGAAAGCGUGGGGAGCAAACGGG